AUGAACGCUAGCUACAGGCUUAACACAUGCAAGUCGAGGGGAAACGACAUCGAAAGCUUGCUUUUGAUGGGCGUCGACCGGCGCACGGGUGAGUAACGCGUAUCCAACCUGCCCACCACUUGGGGAUAACCUUGCGAAAGUAAGACUAAUACCCAAUGACGUCUCUAGAAGACAUCUGAAAGAGAUUAAAGAUUUAUCGGUGAUGGAUGGGGAUGCGUCUGAUUAGCUUGUUGGCGGGGUAACGGCCCACCAAGGCGACGAUCAGUAGGGGUUCUGAGAGGAAGGUCCCCCACAUUGGAACUGAGACACGGUCCAAACUCCUACGGGAGGCAGCAGUGAGGAAUAUUGGUCAAUGGACGAGAGUCUGAACCAGCCAAGUAGCGUGCAGGAUGACGGCCCUAUGGGUUGUAAACUGCUUUUAUAAGGGAAUAAAGUGAGUCUCGUGAGACUUUUUGCAUGUACCUUAUGAAUAAGGACCGGCUAAUUCCGUG
Molecule: ribosomal RNA, 491 nt
Filed under: uncultured bacterium
Lineage: Bacteria
Description: partial 16S ribosomal RNA
Rfam family: Bacterial small subunit ribosomal RNA
Source: RNAcentral